This 497-nucleotide ribosomal RNA is filed under the name uncultured bacterium. Its description in RNAcentral is "partial 16S ribosomal RNA". It matches the Rfam family "Bacterial small subunit ribosomal RNA", at positions 28 to 507 of the family's 1533-position model. The record is from RNAcentral.
GAUGAACGCUGGCGGCGUGCCUAAUACAUGCAAGUCGAGCGAACAGACGAGGAGCUUGCUCCUCUGACGUUAGCGGCGGACGGGUGAGUAACACGUGGAUAACCUACCUAUAAGACUGGGAUAACUUCGGGAAACCGGAGCUAAUACCGGAUAAUAUAUUGAACCGCAUGGUUCAAUAGUGAAAGACGGUUUUGCUGUCACGUAUAGAUGGAUCCGCGCCGCAUUAGCUAGUUGGUAAGGUAACGGCUUACCAAGGCGACGAUGCGUAGCCGACCUGAGAGGGUGAUAGGCCACACUGGAACUGAGACACGGUCCAGACUCCUACGGGAGGCAGCAGUAGGGAAUCUUCCGCAAUGGGCGGAAGCCUGACGGAGCAACGCCGCGUGAGUGAUGAAGGUCUUCGGAUCGUAAAACUCUGUUAUUAGGGAAGAACAAAUGUGUAAGUAACUAUGCACGUCUUGACGGUACCUAAUCAGAAAGCCACGGCUAACUACGUG